This 342-nucleotide unclassified non-coding RNA is filed under the name soil metagenome. Its description in RNAcentral is "partial contains 5.8S ribosomal RNA, internal transcribed spacer 2, and large subunit ribosomal RNA". The stretch from base 1 to 120 matches the Rfam family "5.8S ribosomal RNA", at positions 35 to 154 of the family's 154-position model. The record is from RNAcentral.
GAUGAAGAACGCAGCGAAAUGCGAUAAGUAAUGUGAAUUGCAGAAUUCAGUGAAUCAUCGAAUCUUUGAACGCACAUUGCGCCCGCCAGCAUUCUGGCGGGCAUGCCUGUUCGAGCGUCAUUUCAACCCUCGAGCCCCCCCGGGGGCCUCGGUGUUGGGGGACGGCACACCAGCCGCCCCCGAAAUGCAGUGGCGACCCCGCCGCAGCCUCCCCUGCGUAGUAGCACACACCUCGCACCGGAGCGCGGAGGCGGUCACGCCGUAAAACGCCCAACUUUCUUAGAGUUGACCUCGGAUCAGGUAGGAAUACCCGCUGAACUUAAGCAUAUCAAUAACGGAGGA